UUAAUGGUUUUUUUGAAAACCAUCCCCAAAAGUCAAGAAAAUUGAAG
Picea glauca (white spruce) is the source of this 47-nucleotide non-coding RNA. Lineage: Eukaryota; Viridiplantae; Streptophyta; Pinopsida; Pinales; Pinaceae. The record is from Rfam.